This 833-nucleotide ribosomal RNA is filed under the name uncultured bacterium. RNAcentral describes it as "bacterial SSU rRNA". It matches the Rfam family "Bacterial small subunit ribosomal RNA", at positions 601 to 1435 of the family's 1533-position model. The record is from RNAcentral.
CCCCGGNCUCAACCUGGGAACUGCGUUNUGAACUGGGUGACUAGAGUGUGUCAGAGGGAGGUAGAAUUCCACGUGUAGCAGUGAAAUGCGUAGAGAUGUGGAGGAAUACCGAUGGCGAAGGCAGCCUCCUGGGAUAACACUGACGUUCAUGCUCGAAAGCGUGGGUAGCAAACAGGAUUAGAUACCCUGGUAGUCCACGCCCUAAACGAUGUCAAUUAGCUGUUGGGCAACUUGAUUGCUUAGUAGCGUAGCUAACGCGUGAAAUUGACCGCCUGGGGAGUACGGUCGCAAGAUUAAAACUCAAAGGAAUUGACGGGGACCCGCACAAGCGGUGGAUGAUGUGGAUUAAUUCGAUGCAACGCGAAGAACCUUACCUGGUCUUGACAUGUACGGAAUCCUCCAGAGACGGAGGAGUGCCUUCGGGAGCCGUAACACAGGUGCUGCAUGGCUGUCGUCAGCUCGUGUCGUGAGAUGUUGGGUUAAGUCCCGCAACGAGCGCAACCCUUGUCAUUAGUUGCCAUCAUUUAGUUGGGCACUCUAAUGAGACUGCCGGUGACAAGCCGGAGGAAGGUGGGGAUGACGUCAAGUCCUCAUGGCCCUUAUGACCAGGGCUUCACACGUCAUACAAUGGUCGGUACAGAGGGUAGCCAAGCCGCGAGGUGGAGCCAAUCUCACAAAACCGAUCGUAGUCCGGAUUGCACUCUGCAACUCGAGUGCAUGAAGUCGGAAUCGCUAGUAAUCGCAGGUCAGCAUACUGCGGUGAAUACGUUCCCGGGUCUUGUACACACCGCCCGUCACACCACGAGAGUUUGUAACACCCGAAGUCGGUGAGG